GAAAAAAUGGCUGAGACACAAAGCAAUAAAUUGUAAAUUUAUUAACGAAUAUUGAUAUUCUUUUUUCA
This 68-nucleotide transfer RNA is filed under the name Vincenzellus ruficollis. RNAcentral's name for it is "tRNA-Tyr". It matches the Rfam family "tRNA". Rfam says of the family: Transfer RNA (tRNA) molecules are approximately 80 nucleotides in length. Lineage: Eukaryota; Metazoa; Arthropoda; Insecta; Coleoptera; Salpingidae. The record is from RNAcentral.